UGUGGGGGAAGGAUCUCUUCUGGAGGUUCAUGCUGCUGGAGUUUUACAAGUGAGCCCAGGAUAUGGGUUAACUCAGCAAAGUUUUCACUGUGUUCCCUGGUGGAGAUGGGUGUUGGCUCCUUGCCUUGGAUGCACAAUGCUUGCUUUGUCUGCUUGGUACAGCCUGUAUCAAGGAUCAAGAAAACUCCCCUCAGCUGACACAGUUCUGGUUCCUGAACUUCUCACUUCUUCCAACUUUUGGUGCAGUCAGGCCAAACAACCCAUUGUGAUUUGUUCAGAAGAGAUUUCCAAGCAUGAUCCCUAUGAAGAGCAGAACUCCUACAGUACGAUUUGAAGCGAAUUUCUUCCAACAGUCUUCAGGCUUAUCUAUAUCCAAAGUGUAAAUCUGCAAA
Molecule: long non-coding RNA, 392 nt
Organism: Tympanuchus pallidicinctus (lesser prairie-chicken)
Lineage: Eukaryota; Metazoa; Chordata; Aves; Galliformes; Phasianidae
Exons: 4
Source: RefSeq, a predicted model, not a curated record